Long non-coding RNA from Xiphophorus couchianus (Monterrey platyfish), 1492 nucleotides. RefSeq lists it as uncharacterized. The record is from RefSeq and is a predicted model, not a curated record. The transcript is spliced from 3 exons. NCBI's taxonomy places the organism in Eukaryota, Metazoa, Chordata, Actinopteri, Cyprinodontiformes, Poeciliidae.
UUCCUGUCUUCUGAUGGCUAUUGCUCAUGCUAACCGUGGCUCAAGUGGAGGUUAGUUAUCAUUAAAAGUGUUGGUUUCUUUACAGUGUGACUGUAUUCCUACUCAAUAUGAAUUGAAUUCAAUUCAGUUUAUUUGAACUGGCGCCAAUUCACAACAAAUGUCAUCUAGAGGCAGUUUGCAAAAAAAAAAUAAUUCAGUCUCACGUAAUUAAAUUGUAUUUCUGCAGUGUUUUUUUUUUUUUUUUCAGAUUUAACCCGUCACUAAUUAGUAUCUAAUCAACUGAAUUUGACUGUAUUUUAUGAAGAUUUGGAUUGAAUUGGAUUUAAAUGGGUACAUUCGACCCUUCUCUCAAUGAUUGUUGAAUAAAGGGAUCAGGAUCUCAUUGUCCUGGUUAGUUGGGUUUUUAAACUUGGCUUGAGUUAACGUUGGUUUUGGUUGGUUAAACUGGAACAAGAUCAAUUGAAAUAUACAGAAGCUAAGAACGCAUGAUUUUCUGGAGAGAACAAGUUAAUCUUGAGAAAUUCAUUGGAAAAUUAAUUUCUCUUGAGAAAACCAUCUGGAAAAAGCAUAUGGGGAAAAUGUCCACUCUCUGCUCCCAUAGAAAUAAAUUUGAUUUCUAUUUUAUGGUAGCAGUCAGAAAUUAGCCUGUGUAGAACUAGCUAGGCAGAUAAGCUAGGCUACGCAUGGAUAGACAAAGUUCAGAAAAUAUAUAUUUAUUUAUGUUUUAGAUUAAACAUUAAAGCAGUAAUCAGUUUUAGAUACUUUUUAAAUAAAAAUAUGACUGUAUUAAGUUUAUUUUUAGAUUUAUAUUGCGCAAAAUCCAUUCAUGUUGUUUGUGACAUCAGCAGUUGACCGCUAACUGAGGAAUCCAGCCCUUCGAGAAACCAUGAUUUCCCCCAAAAUAAAUAAUAAAACUGUAUUCAAACAGCAUAUCUUAAACGUGUUAAUUUAGGUUAUACGUGACUUGUUUCAAUGAAAUAGUUUUUAUACACUUUUACUGCUCUAAUUUGAAGGAUACGCUACUACACAUCCGCCAUUUUGUGUAACUUUACGAGACGGACCGUUUACCAACAACAACGUUACUUUUACUUUUAUUACUGUUUUUUUUUGUUGUGGUUGUUUGUUUGUUUGUUACGUCAUGUGCUUGUUAUGUUGUGGGUUUUGUCACUUUUUGUGACAUGAACCGGCGGGGACACGUUGAGCCGCCCGGUUCGCCGGCGGGGAGUCCGGGCUGCCGGGGAGGGAGGGGAGCCAGCUGGCGCUCCGGAGGAAUCCAGGAAUGUUCCUGCUGCUUUACGCAACUUUCAAUGCAAGCCUGGAAACGAUUCAUUACAGCCUGAAUCACUGGCGCUGAACUGGAGCUUUGGACGUUUGGACGCUCAUUGCACGGCAGCUCGUGUUACCGCCGAAGCAUGCAGUACCUACCGCAGCCACCAGGGGGCCCCCAGCACCAAUUUAUUUGUUUUGUUUUUCAAAUAAAAUAAUAAUUUCU